CGAGGGCCUCCAGCAGGACCGGGUCGUCGCGGACCGGCGCCAGUUCCACGCCGUCCAGCAGCCGCUCGGCGGC
Molecule: transfer RNA, 73 nt
Filed under: Streptomyces mutabilis
Lineage: Bacteria; Bacillati; Actinomycetota; Actinomycetes; Kitasatosporales; Streptomycetaceae
Source: RNAcentral